UACGUAGGGGGCAAGCGUUGUCCGGAUUUACUGGGCGUAAAGAGCGUGUAGGCGGCCACGCAGGUCCGUUGUGAAAACUGGAGGCUCAACCUCCAGCUGUCGACGGAAACCGUAUGGCUAGAGUCCGGAAGAGGAGAGUGGAAUUCCUGGUGUAGCGGUGAAAUGCGCAGAUAUCAGGAAGAACACCAAUGGCGAAGGCAGCGCUCUGGGACGGUACUGACGCUGAGACGCGAAAGCGUGGGGAGCGAACAGG
RNAcentral lists this ribosomal RNA (253 nucleotides) under uncultured bacterium. Its description in RNAcentral is "partial 16S ribosomal RNA". It matches the Rfam family "Bacterial small subunit ribosomal RNA", at positions 524 to 776 of the family's 1533-position model. The record is from RNAcentral.